ACACAGAUUUUCUUUAAAAACCCUUAUGGGAAAGACCAUCACUCUGGAGUUUGAACCCUUGGAUACAAUAGAAAAUGCGAAGUCCAAGAUCUAGGAUAAGACAGGAAUUUCUACUGAUCAGCAAAGACUGAUCUUUGUUGGCAAGAAACUGGAAGAUGGAUGUGCUUUGUCUGGGUACAACAUUCAAAAGGAGUCUACUCUUCAUCUUGUGUUGAGACUUCAUGGUGGUGCUAAGAAAAGGAAGAAGUCUUACACCACUCCAAAGAAGAAUAAGCAUAAGAAAAGGAAGGUUAAGCUGGCUGUCCUGAAAUACUAUAAGGUGGAUGAAAAUGGCAAAAUUAGUCAACUUCAUCAAGAAUGCCCUUCAGAUUAAUGUAUUGCUGGAGAUUUUGUGGCCAGCCAUUUUAACAGUCAUUGUUGUAGCAAAUGUCUGCAUUAUUGUUUCAACAAACCAGAAGACAAGUAA
This 466-nucleotide long non-coding RNA is filed under the name Homo sapiens (human). RNAcentral's name for it is "non-protein coding lnc-ALDH1A1-6:1". The record is from RNAcentral. Lineage: Eukaryota; Metazoa; Chordata; Mammalia; Primates; Hominidae.